This 429-nucleotide ribosomal RNA is filed under the name Pseudomonadota bacterium. Its description in RNAcentral is "Proteobacteria bacterium partial 16S ribosomal RNA". It matches the Rfam family "Bacterial small subunit ribosomal RNA", at positions 355 to 776 of the family's 1533-position model. Lineage: Bacteria; Pseudomonadati; Pseudomonadota. The record is from RNAcentral.
UGGGGAAUAUUGGACAAUGGGCGAAAGCCUGAUCCAGCCAUGCCGCGUGUGUGAAGAAGGUCUUCGGAUUGUAAAGCACUUUAAGUCGGGAGGAAGGGCAGUAAGCGAAUACCUUGCUGUUUUGACGUUACCGACAGAAUAAGCACCGGCUAACUCUGUGCCAGCAGCCGCGGUAAUACAGAGGGUGCAAGCGUUAAUCGGAAUUACUGGGCGUAAAGCGCGCGUAGGUGGUUCGUUAAGUUGAAUGUGAAAGCCCCGGGCUCAACCUGGGAACUGCAUCCAAAACUGGCGAGCUAGAGUAGGGCAGAGGGUGGUGGAAUUUCCUGUGUAGCGGUGAAAUGCGUAGAUAUAGGAAGGAACACCAGUGGCGAAGGCGACCACCUGGGCUCAUACUGACACUGAGGUGCGAAAGCGUGGGGAGCAAACAGG